AUUUAACUAUUUGAUCAUUAAAUUUGUUGAUUUGACUAAAUUGGUGACCUUUUAAUUUUAGGGCUUGUUUGGUUCAUCCAUUUUGGGUAUGGAAUGAGAAUCGGUUUGAUCAAAUCCGGUUAAUUUUGUUUGGUUCGCAUGAAUCGAUUUGAGAUUCUUAUUUCGAACUGGAAUGGGAAUGACCCAUUAGCCUUCAACUUGAUUCCGGUCUUCUAGUCCGGAUUGAGAUUUCAUUUCGGAAGCACACUAAGUUCUCGAAACCCAUGUGACCAUCUCACCCUCCUUCUCUUCAUCCCUUUCUCAUCAAAAAAAAAAAAAAUCUAUCAUCUCUCAAAACCCUAUCCCUAACCUACAUCAAUAAAAAUUUUUAAAAAUAAAUUUGAUAUUUUUUUUUGGAAAACUUAUGAGAGAAUAGUAUUAUAUUUUUCAUAAAUUUUAAAUAAUAUAAAUUUAUAUUUGAGAGUAAAAUUAGUAUUAUAGUAUCCUAUAAUUUUUUUAAUUUAUACGAACCAAACAAUGAAAUGUGAAUAAUUCAUUCCAAUUUCCAAUCCACAAAUAAACCAAACGUUUUGGGGGAGUGGGCCAUUCCAAUUACCAUUCCAAU
This 604-nucleotide long non-coding RNA is filed under the name Ananas comosus (pineapple). RNAcentral describes it as "long non-coding RNA (ACOM_LNC031896)". Lineage: Eukaryota; Viridiplantae; Streptophyta; Magnoliopsida; Poales; Bromeliaceae. The record is from RNAcentral.